This 732-nucleotide ribosomal RNA is filed under the name Alnicola macrospora. RNAcentral describes it as "eukaryotic LSU rRNA". The stretch from base 234 to 387 matches the Rfam family "5.8S ribosomal RNA". Lineage: Eukaryota; Fungi; Basidiomycota; Agaricomycetes; Agaricales; Hymenogastraceae. The record is from RNAcentral.
UGGUGUGGUUGUUGCUGGCCCUCCUGGGCAUGUGCACGCCUGCCAUCCUCAUCUCUUCACCUGUGCACCUUUUGUAGGCUUGGAUAGACAUUUUUCCGAGGCAACUCGGUCGGGAGGAAUGCUGCGCGCAAGCCGGCUUUCCNUUGCGUUUUUCCAGGUCUAUGUUUUUUUCAUAUACCCAGUAGUAUGUAACAGAAUGUAUCAUUGGGCGCUUGCGCCUAUAAAGUUUAUACAACUUUCAGCAACGGAUCUCUUGGCUCUCGCAUCGAUGAAGAACGCAGCGAAAUGCGAUAAGUAAUGUGAAUUGCAGAAUUCAGUGAAUCAUCGAAUCUUUGAACGCACCUUGCGCUCCUUGGUAUUCCGAGGAGCAUGCCUGUUUGAGUGUCAUUAAAUUUCUCAACCUUUAUUAGCUUUUGCUGAUGAAUGGCUUGGAUGUGGGGGUUCUUUUGCUGGCUCAGGUCGGCUCCCCUUAAAUGCAUUAGCUGGUGUACCCUGUGGUGGACUUGGUGUGAUAAUUAUCUACGCCAUGUAUUGUCUGCAACGCACUGCUUCUAACCGUCUGUUCAUUCGGACAAUUAAAUGACAAUUUGACCUCAAAUCAGGUAGGACUACCCGCUGAACUUAAGCAUAUCAAUAAGCGGAGGAAAAGAAACUAACAAGGAUUCCCCUAGUAACUGCGAGUGAAGCGGGAAAAGCUCAAAUUUAAAAUCUGGCGGUCUUUGGCCGUCCGAG